This 444-nucleotide ribosomal RNA is filed under the name uncultured bacterium. Its description in RNAcentral is "partial 16S ribosomal RNA". It matches the Rfam family "Bacterial small subunit ribosomal RNA", at positions 354 to 795 of the family's 1533-position model. The record is from RNAcentral.
GUGAGGAAUAUUGGUCAAUGGGCGAGAGCCUGAACCAGCCAAGUCGCGUGAAGGAAGAAGGAUCUAUGGUUCGUAAACUUCUUUUGCAGGGGAAUAAAGUGCAGGACGUGUCCUGUUUUGUAUGUACCCUGAGAAUAAGGAUCGGCUAACUCCGUGCCAGCAGCCGCGGUAAUACGGAGGAUCCGAGCGUUAUCCGGAUUUAUUGGGUUUAAAGGGUGCGUAGGUGGUUUGAUAAGUCAGCGGUGAAAGUUUGCAGCUUAACUGUAAAAAUGCCGUUGAAACUGUCGGACUUGAGUGUAAAUGAGGUAGGCGGAAUGCGUGGUGUAGCGGUGAAAUGCAUAGAUAUCACGCAGAACUCCGAUUGCGAAGGCAGCUUACUAAGCUACAACUGACACUGAAGCACGAAAGCGUGGGGAUCAAACAGGAUUAGAAACCCGGGUAUCC